CCAAAAGCUGGCGACCGGCGCACGGGUGAGUAACACGUAUCCAACCUGCCUCAUACUCGGGGAUAGCCUUUCGAAAGAAAGAUUAAUAUCCGAUAGCAUAUAUUUCCCGCAUGGGUUUUAUAUUAAAGAAAUUCGGUAUGAGAUGGGGAUGCGUUCCAUUAGUUUGUUGGGGGGUAACGGCCCACCAAGACUACGAUGGAUAGGGGUUCUGAGAGGAAGGUCCCCCACAUUGGAACUGAGACACGGUCCAG
RNAcentral lists this ribosomal RNA (251 nucleotides) under uncultured bacterium. RNAcentral describes it as "partial 16S ribosomal RNA". It matches the Rfam family "Bacterial small subunit ribosomal RNA", at positions 80 to 334 of the family's 1533-position model. The record is from RNAcentral.